This is a long non-coding RNA of Mauremys reevesii (Reeves's turtle), 509 nucleotides long. RefSeq lists it as uncharacterized. The record is from RefSeq and is a predicted model, not a curated record. The transcript has 2 exons. NCBI's taxonomy places the organism in Eukaryota, Metazoa, Chordata, Testudines, Geoemydidae.
CACACACACACACCCCCAAAACACAAGCGGCGCCGUGGAAGGAGAAAUUUCACUGCGCAGGCGUUGAGGGGGCAUCGCCUGCAGAGCCGGGAGGGGCGUGGCAAUGGGGCCGGGCUUCAGAGUAGAACCAAUCCCAGCGAGGGGCGGAGUUUUGUGCAGGGGCGGGGCUUCCGAGCAAGGUACCAGACCUGUCGUUGUCUCUUCUCUCUUGAGAAGCUGCCACUAAUCUAGCAGCUACUACCAGCUAAGGAAUUAAUUGAUAACAAUGGAAAAGAAAAUGGUCCAAAGUGAGAAGCCUGAUUUCAGACAACAUGAGAAGUUCUUGUUAUGGGAAAAUGAAAACAGGUUCCAGUCUUGCAGUGAGCACCACAUGGGCCCAGAAAUCCACCACUGUCAAACACACUGUAGGAUCAAGGCCCAGCUAUGUGUAUGCUUUGUUUGUUCACUUGUAAUCACGAGUUAAACACUUGGUUACCAUAAAUUUGGUGUUACAUGCACCUACAAAUGAC